RNAcentral lists this unclassified non-coding RNA (309 nucleotides) under Hevea brasiliensis (rubber tree). The record is from RNAcentral. Lineage: Eukaryota; Viridiplantae; Streptophyta; Magnoliopsida; Malpighiales; Euphorbiaceae.
CAGCUAUGAAUUGCAAAAUAUUAUUUUGUAUCUGAAUACAAAUACAGAGCAAACCGUGACAGUUACGCUCCAAUAGUGGCCUAAAUAUUCGGAGUUACAUUUAUUCCUUCAUUCUUAUAAUUUUCACAUCAUUAUUUCAUUUUUCCCCUCCCCUUCAAAUUGACAUAUUAAAUGAACUCAAUGAACGCCUAAAUCCCAGAUCCGGCAAGCCGGCGCCUAGAGGCAUUUGAAACAGAAACUUGACCUAGCCUAUCUGCAUCGCUUGUUUCCAUCCUUUCUUUGAGUGGCAUAUAAUGUCGAAGCCAUGCC